UACAGAGGGGGCAAGCGUUGUUCGGAAUUACUGGGCGUAAAGGGCGCGUAGGCGGCCAACUAAGUCAGACGUGAAAUCCCUCGGCUUAACCGGGGAACUGCAUCUGAUACUGGAUGGCUUGAGAUUGGGAGAGGGAUGCGGAAUUCCAGGUGUAGCGGUGAAAUGCGUAGAUAUCUGGAGGAACACCGGUGGCGAAGGCGGCAUCCUGGACCAACACUGACGCUGAGGAGCGAAAGCCAGGGGAGCAAACGGG
Molecule: ribosomal RNA, 253 nt
Filed under: uncultured bacterium
Lineage: Bacteria
Description: partial 16S ribosomal RNA
Rfam family: Bacterial small subunit ribosomal RNA
Source: RNAcentral